UCUCAUGUGGUCUAGUGGUUAGGAUUUCUAGCUUACACCCAGGCGGCCCGGGCUCGAUUCCCGGCAUUGGAA
This 72-nucleotide transfer RNA is filed under the name Araneus ventricosus. It matches the Rfam family "tRNA". From Rfam's summary of the family: Transfer RNA (tRNA) molecules are approximately 80 nucleotides in length. Lineage: Eukaryota; Metazoa; Arthropoda; Arachnida; Araneae; Araneidae. The record is from Rfam by way of RNAcentral.